Long non-coding RNA from Patiria miniata (bat star), 994 nucleotides. RefSeq lists it as uncharacterized. Lineage: Eukaryota; Metazoa; Echinodermata; Asteroidea; Valvatida; Asterinidae. The transcript is spliced from 2 exons. The record is from RefSeq and is a predicted model, not a curated record.
GGGUGUUUGUUUGUUUGUUUUUACUCGAUCAUGGGUUAAUUGGCACUGAUUUCCUUAAACAGGCUGUGGUUGGAGCAUAGUCUGUGGCAUAAGUGUGGUACGUGAAAUGAAUAAAAUCAGUUUUUAAACUCAGUUUGAACAAUAAUCCAAACACUACUUUAUUAAAGGCAGGUUUUCUUUAAAGGAAAAAAAUGUGAACUGAAUUUUAUGAUGUUAUAACUAACUUUCACUUUGAUAUUCAACGUUACCAUGAAAAAAGCAAUUAUACUUUUGUAUUAAGAAAAAGUGUAAAGACUAUGAAGUGUUUCAACUGUACAAUAAACUUCAAAACAUGGAACAUUUGAAGAGAACAAUGGUUUAUUAGCAAUACUGGAGUACAUAGCUUACAAAACUUUUUUUUCGACAAAAUGUUCUACAACCAUCCUGUGCAGAUUUACAUACAUGUAGUUUGUAGCCAGUAAUUGAUACUAAUCAUGAGGCCUUGUUCAAUUUGUCAGCAGAUCAUUAAUAUUCAAAAUGGAUUUUCCGUUAUUAAAAUAAACCCUGCUCCCUCACAUUGAAUUCUGAACCUCUAUGUGAUGUGUAGUAUAAUGUUCAUCUGAGAAAAAUAUGAAACUCUAGUUAUUUCUAAGGAAUAGUUCAACUUAUUGAGUCUUAAAACACAUUUAAAGUAUUGUGCCCAUCCAACAGAACUGUAUUGUAAGAAUCUCUGUAAGGAUGAUCGUACUGUUCUCAAGUAGAUUCCAAUUGCUGUGGUUUCAACCUUCUUUCAUUAUAGAACGUAAUACAGAGCUGCACUACAGUUAAUAAAUGAAAUCAAUAAAUGGACACAAAGUGGAGCAACUAAAUGUACAUACUGCAAACUGAUUGUCACAAGAGGUAAAACUGGUUAAUAAAGGAAUCAAUUCAGUUUGUUGUAAAUAAAUACAUUAAAGUGGAACAUCUUCAAGGUGUACUUGUGUUUGAUACAAAUAAAAACACAUGACAAACUCCU